This 186-nucleotide microRNA precursor is filed under the name Oryza brachyantha (malo sina). Its description in RNAcentral is "MIR812 microRNA precursor family". It matches the Rfam family "MIR812 microRNA precursor family". Lineage: Eukaryota; Viridiplantae; Streptophyta; Magnoliopsida; Poales; Poaceae. The record is from Rfam by way of RNAcentral.
AGUAAGAUCAUUUUUAAGUUUUUUGAUAUAAUGUUUUAACUCUUCAUGUUAUUUGAAUUUUUUUGUGAUUAAUAUUUUAUUCUUACAUGAUAAAACAUGAAUAGUACUUUAUGCGUGACUAAUUUUUUAAAGUUUUUUACAAAAUUUUAAAUAAGAUAAAUAGUCAAACGUUGAGAACGGAAAAAC